GGGGAUCCAGUGCCAGUCGCUUAAAAAUGCCCCUGUGGUAGUAAGGGGUGCCAGAGGCCGGGUCAAGUUAGUUGAGAAGCAGUGACACCCCCCACCAGUCCCCAAACAGGCUGACCCCAUCUCUAGGCCCCAAGGAGCCACACCUGGACCAGACUGCGGGACAGGCAAGGGCACUGGCUGGUGGAAGCCACCUACCACCCUGGCACUGGAUAACCAACAACCCUGGAGAGAGAGCCUCCUAGAGACCAGAAGAGGGAGGCGGCAGGCAGCCCUGRCAGCAGAACUCCUCCCCUUCACCCACCCUUCCCCAGAGCCUUCCAACAGCCUGCCGACCCAGUUUCCCCCAACCCAGAGACGUUUCCUGGAGACAUCCAGAAAGGGAGGGGAAAACAGUGCCUUCUCCUGGGAGCAGACCCCCAAGUCACCCACAGCCAGCACUGAAAGCCACCAGGUAAAACUCUUGACACCGCCUGGCUCAGUCACCUCCUUCAACAGAAGGGGAAAGAGCGCCACAGAGAGGAGAGGGGCCUGGCGUGAAGUCACUUGCCAACUGGCGACAGAACCAAGACUCCCAAACGGCUUCCCCCAUCUCCCCUGGGAUCCAGUGUGAAGGAGCCUUUCAUGGGGUAAGUGAAAUAGGGGCCAGAGAGCCCCUUCUCAGUGAGGCCCUCGCUUGAAGGAAACAGGGGAUGGGACAAGUGCUGCCUGCCAGCCCAGAAGUGGGCAAGACUCAAACGAAGUGUUCCCGGGGCCAGAGAGCCAGGAGGAAGGGCACCCUGCCUGGACCUCUGCCCCUYCCCACAGCUCAGCAGUACCACCUCCUCCUCCAGGAAGCCUGCCCAGCUCCCCCAGGGAUUGGAACCUCUC
This is a long non-coding RNA of Urocitellus parryii (Arctic ground squirrel), 867 nucleotides long. RefSeq lists it as uncharacterized. The record is from RefSeq and is a predicted model, not a curated record. NCBI's taxonomy places the organism in Eukaryota, Metazoa, Chordata, Mammalia, Rodentia, Sciuridae.